This 329-nucleotide ribosomal RNA is filed under the name uncultured eukaryote. RNAcentral's name for it is "partial 18S ribosomal RNA". It matches the Rfam family "Eukaryotic small subunit ribosomal RNA", at positions 1470 to 1796 of the family's 1831-position model. The record is from RNAcentral.
CCCUUAGAUGUUCUGGGCUGCACGCGCGCUACACUGAUACUUUCAGCGAGUCCACCACCUUGCCUGAGAGGGUGGGGUAACCUCUGGAAAGUGUAUCGUGAUGGGGAUCGAUUAUUGUAAUUAUUAAUCUUCAACGAGGAAUUCCUAGUAAGCAUGUGUCAUCAGCCCGUGCUGAUUACGUCCCUGCCCUUUGUACACACCGCCCGUCGCACCUACCGAUUGAAUGACUCGGUGAAAAAUUGGGACCGUGAGUCUGUUUGCUUCAUUGCGAGUGGAUUGAUGGGAACUUUUUUAAACCUCGCCAUUUAGAGGAAGGUGAAGUCGUAACA